Molecule: ribosomal RNA, 429 nt
Filed under: bacterium
Lineage: Bacteria
Description: partial 16S ribosomal RNA
Rfam family: Bacterial small subunit ribosomal RNA
Source: RNAcentral
UGGGGAAUCUUCCGCAAUGGACGAAAGUCUGACGGAGCAACGCCGCGUGAGUGAUGACGGCCUUCGGGUUGUAAAGCUCUGUUAAUCGGGACGAAUGGUUCUUGUGCGAAUAGUGCAAGGAUUUGACGGUACCGGAAUAGAAAGCCACGGCUAACUACGUGCCAGCAGCCGCGGUAAUACGUAGGUGGCAAGCGUUGUCCGGAAUUAUUGGGCGUAAAGCGCGCGCAGGCGGAUUGGUUAGUCUGUCUUAAAAGUUCGGGGCUUAUCCCCGUGAUGGGAUGGAAACUGCCAAUCUAGAGUAUCGGAGAGGAAAGUGGAAUUCCUAGUGUAGCGGUGAAAUGCGUAGAUAUUAGGAAGAACACCAGUGGCGAAGGCGACUUUCUGGACGAAAACUGACGCUGAGGCGCGAAAGCCAGGGGAGCGAACGGG